CUUGCAGAUAUUCUUUCUGGUCGUCCAAGACAACCAAUUGGAUGUUGUUGGUACACGAUGUUAAGGAAAGAUUAACUGUUUGGCUGGACUCAAUGAAUCUUGAAAGGCAUAGACACCAUGCUAAAACACUUGCCAUGUUGGUACAUAAACAAAAUGAACAAAAUGCUUUGAAUGAGGGGAAGUCAAAUUUCCUGGCAAUAUUCCAAAACAAGAAAACAGUCGUGACUGUGCAGUUUACAUGAUUGCAUUUAUGGUAUCUCUGGCAGUUAGUGAUAAAAUACCUUCAUUUGAUAAGAACCACGUGUGUCAAAUGCGCCGGCAAAUUUUUCUUGAGUUGAAAAAGAAAUGCUUCUCCCUGAAUAUCCUGAAGUUGGCUAUAGGCAUUUGUAUGAAAGAAAAUACUCCUAUAAAGAUUACGAAAUUUUGCAGAAGA
This is a long non-coding RNA of Rhododendron vialii, 433 nucleotides long. RefSeq lists it as uncharacterized. The transcript has 4 exons. The record is from RefSeq and is a predicted model, not a curated record. Lineage: Eukaryota; Viridiplantae; Streptophyta; Magnoliopsida; Ericales; Ericaceae.